GGCAAUAGUAAUCUUUAAGUUUUCGAAACAAUUAUGGCGGCAUAACCUCUAACCUUCGUUUGAAAUUUAGUUGUCGAACUUGUUGACAAGUGAUGUGGAUUUUCUCGUAAAAUUGUUAUUUUUCAAUUGAAUCGAAUAUGUUCAUAGUAACUAAAGAAAUCGAUGGAGAAAAUAUCAGCAAAUUGUGUCGUACGUGUUUGCGAGAGGACGGUGAUAAAAUGGUUUGUUUGUUCGUUGGACCUGCAGGCUCUUCUCUCGCUGCCAAACUGAGAUCAUUAUCGUGUCUAGAAGUUUGGCAAGGAGAUGGAUUACCAGAAAAGAUGUGUGACCGAUGUGUCACCAGAGCAGAAUCUGCCCUUUUGUACAGAGAACAAUGUAGAGCAGCCGAUAGGGCUUUAAGACAAGCUGCUUUAAAGGUCUCUGGUUUAACUUCCUAUGCAACUGUAUCAGGUUGCAAACUGUAUCAGCAGAGUCAAGGUUUUAUGCCAGUACAAAAUUCACACAAAACUUUAAAAUGCAUAGAAUGCGGAGCUGUGUUUAUGAGUUAUCAAGAAUUGUGUGCUCAUAAUAGAUUGCAUUUACCUUUCGUACAAGAAAAUAUCCCUGUAGAACAUAUGCACAUCAUAGAGUCUCAAAAUACAUAUCUUAAUUUCAGUCAUUUAAAUUCUAAUCUCCCUAACGAUGGGAUACAGAAUACUCAAUUGUCACCAUUAAUUACGUCUAAUGUAAUGCAUAUGAUGUCAGUUAAUGAAGAUGGUUCUAGUAGAGCUGCUUGCGCGCUCCAUUGUUCUCUCUGUAAUCAUACAUUUACUAAUAGAACGCAAUUAAUAUGUCAUAAUAUAGCGCAUACUACGGAAAAUAUAGAUAUAUCUUGUGACAAUGACAAUAUUGAUAUUUGCGAAAAUUCUAAUCAACUACCGCAAAAUUUGAGCUACGAAAGAUCUAUGAAUUCUGUCGAUAAUUCGAUUGAAAAUUUAUCUUAUCAAAGACCUAACGUGGAUAAUAAUGAAAUGCAAAAUUUAAACUUUCCGGAUAAUAUUCAUCUCGAUGAUGUUCGAGAAAGUGGUACGCAACGCGUUCAAAAUAUAAUGCAUUCAGAAAAUGAUGUCACAAAUGUGCAUAAUUUACAAUUUACCAAAGCACCAAAUGUUGAAACAGGUAGACAUAUCUUAAAUAACUAUCAAGCUUGUUCAUCCGAUUCUAAUUAUAAGGAAAAACUUGAUACAAAGGAAUUAACUAAUUCGCAUUCAAAAAAAUAUAAAUGUAAAUUAUGCACUAAAGUAUUUAGUCAAAAAUCCAAAUUACUUGCUCAUCAAAUAUCUCACAGCGAUCAAAGACCAUAUAAGUGUCACAGUUGUGAAAAAGCUUAUGCAUCUAAAAGUAAAUUGAAUGCGCAUAUGAGAUUACAUACCAAAAAGAAUGUACAUUUUUGCAAAUUAUGUAACAAAGUAUUUACAUAUCCUUCUUAUCUUGAAGAACAUAUGAAAACUCAUAACAAGGUAUAUAGUGAUUCCAAAAAGGUAUUGCAACUUGAGGGUUUUCAAUGUAAUACAUGCAAGAAACGAUUUAGAUUAAUAAAAAAUUUAAAAGCUCAUGAAAAAUUACAUACUGGAAAAGAUCUUGUUCAAUGCGAGAUAUGCGAUAAACGAUUUAGCCAAAAUUACAAUUUAAAAGUACAUUUACAAAUGCACAAAUCAAUAAAGAUGCAUAAAUGUGAAUAUUGUAACAAAUGUUUCACUCAAAAGGGUAAUUUGGUGGAACAUUUAAGAAUUCAUACGAAGGUAAAACCAUUUGAAUGUAAAUUAUGUGGCAAAACAUUUUCUCAAUCAAGUCAUCUUAAAAAUCACGAGGCUUCGCAUGUUUCCCUGAGACAACAUCAAUGUCGAUUAUGUGGGAAACGUUUUAAAUUGGCAAAUCAUUUGAAGAGACAUUUAAAUCUACAUACAGGAACAAAAGCAUACAAGUGUGAACAAUGCAAUCAAAUGUUUUCUCAAGCUUUUAGUUUAACUAGACAUAUGAAGAGGCACAGUGACUCACACAUUUAAUUAUAAUAUAAAAAGAAAUUUUUAUAAAAUACAUCAAAUAAUAUAAUAUAUGUCAUUCCUUCAAAUAUAUAUGUAAAAUAAUCUUCGUAUUAAAAAUAAUCAUCGUAAAAAAAAAAAAAAAAGAAACAAUUACAACAAUUUUGGUAAUAACUUUGGUAAUUCUUAUUGAUAUAAUGCAAUUAUUUUUCAUUUUUAAUUGUACAACCUAUUUAUAAUUUUUUAGCGUCGUCGUAAGAAUAUGUAUACCUUCUUCAAGUUGAUCUUUGGUAAUAGUCAAUGGUGGUGAUAUUCUGAUAAUCUGUCCAUGUGCUGGUCUUGUUAAUAAACCCGCAUCACGUAAUUUCAAACAAAUAUCCCAACCUGGGGCGAAAUCUACGAAAAAAAAAACACAAAUUAUAAUCGUUUUAAAAUUACAAUAGAUGAUAAGGGUAUACCUUUAUUAAUAAGAAGACCAGCUAACAAACCACGUCCUCUGAAUUCCACAGCAAUAUCUUUUGGUAAUUUACUCAAUUCAUUUUUUAAUACUUCGCCCAAUUUCCUAGCAUUCUCGGCAAGAUUUUCUUCUUCCAAGAUUUUAACUGCUUCCAAAGCAACUCUAUUUCCUAAAGGACUACCGCCGAAAGUGCUACCGUGACAACCCGCUUCAAAACACAUCAUUAUCUGUAAUAAAUUAUUACUGAUAAAUUAUCACGUGUGUGUGCACAUUUUCAUAUAAAGAAGAUCGAAUGAUUUUUCAGGAUACAGAUGUUAGAUGAAAAAAAAAUAUUUUUCUUACGUCUAAGAAAAUCAUUAACAUUUAUAGUCAUUAUGUUAUUUUUCUUAUAAAUUUAAAUACCUCAUCGUUCGCCAAGACACCAGAAACUGGAUACAUCCCACCAGAAAGUGCUUUUCCUAAAAUCAAAAUAUCUGCUUUUUGAUUUUCAUGAUCGAUCGCCAUACGUUUCCCAGUUCGACAUAAUCCAGUCUGCACUUCGUCCGCGAUCCAUAAAACGUUAUAUUUCGUACACAAAUCUCUAACACCUUUUAGAUAUCCAUCCUGUAGAAAGUGAAAUGAUCGAAUAAUCGAAAUUAAACAUUUCAAUAUUUUAGAAUAAUUUUUAAAAUUUUUAUGGAUAGAGAUGAGCUUUUAAAAAUGAUAAUUAUUGGCAACCUAUUCUCGAAAAUAUAAUCAACAUCGAACGUUGUUCGAUAAACAAUUAAAAAUUGAUUUGAUAUAAAUCUGCGAGUUGAAAAAAAAAACUUAAAUAAAAAAUAAGUAAUUCUCGCGUGAUCUAUUAAUCGAAUCAAUUUUGUAUUAUCAUAUUUUAUAUUUAAUGUCAUGUAGACUUUGAGGGGUUGAAGGUGCACACGUUUGUUUCAUAAAAACGAAAUAACAUUUGACGUACGUUCGGAAUAAUGACGCCAGCUUCUCCUUGAAUCGGUUCCAUCAUGAAUGCGCAAACGUUCGGAUCUUCUUUAAAUUUUGUUUCGAGAGCGGUUAAAUCAUUGUACGGUACUUUAUCGAAUAGUGGCAUGUACGGACCAAAAUCAUUAUAACAAUUAGGAUCGGUCGAUGACGAUAAUGCUGCUAACGAUCUUCCCCAGAAGUUACCUUUAGCAAACACAAUCGUUGCCUUCUGGCUUGGUAUUUUUUUUAUUCUAUAUCCCCAACGUCUGGCCAAUUUUAUAGCCGUAUCUCCACCUUCAACUCCUAAUAAAUAUUUAAAAAUGUUACAUUAAAAAGAUUCCAAUGUAACGUUGCAACAAAUCUCGCUUGAAUUAAUAUAGUUUUAUAUUAAAUAAUUAAUUAAUAUUAUGAUAAUAUAAUUUUUAUAAAAAAAGACAAUCAUUUUUGUUACCUGUAUUCAUAGGUAUGAAUCUAUCGUAGCCAAUUAAUUUCGUUAAAUAUUCUCCUAAUUCACCGUGCGGUUCCGUAUAAAAAGCUCUUGCAGUGUGAGUCAAUUUUUCUGCCUGUUCCUUCAUGACUUUGACCAAACGUGGAUGACAAUGACCUUGACUGACGGUCGAGAAACCAGCUAAAAAGUCGAGAUAACGUUUCCCAUUAUUGUCCCAUAAAAAAACCCCAUCACCUUUGGUUAAUACCACAGGUAGAGCCUUGAAGUGUCUUGCAGCGUAUUUAUCAUCUCGCUCAAUUAUUUCCUGGGUGCUCAGAUACUUUUUUUUUUGAUCGUACAUCUUCUUCGUUACAUUAAGAAUUCUUUGUCUAAGAGAUUGCAUUUUUUUUCUUUUUCUUUUUCUUUCUUUUUUUUUUUUCAACACAUAUAUAAUCGAAUACCAAUAUGAUAAAUUAUUGUAACCUUGGUCUCAAUUAUUAAAAGUAUAUUAAUAUUAAUGAAAAGUAAUUAGAGGGAAUAUAUAUAUAUAUACAUAUAUAUUAACUAGAAAUACAGCGAGAUACUUUCUAACGAAACACGUAAAAUGUACCAUCAUUUAUAGCAAUGUGGACGAUAUAAGAGGGGGAAACUUAUUUACUCCUAACUUGUUUGUAUACAAAGUUGUGCAAAGGGGAUUUAAAAUAAAUACCACAUCGAUGUACGUAUGGAUUCAAAAGUCGCUGAUAAUGGGCCUUUGUGUUUAUUAAGGCGCCAAUGUUCUAAAGUAAACUCAUAAUUACAAACAAUAUAAUCUUAUACGUUAAAAUCGUUCAAUGUCACAAUUGAUAAAUAAGAACUGUAUAAUAUAUUUUAAAUGACCGAUCGAUCAUUUAAAUGAGUUUAUCUCGAUCGAAUAAAAAGAAAAAAAAAAAAGAAAAAAUGAAAAGAAAAAAAAAAAAGAGGAAAUAAAGCAUUAAG
Molecule: RNA transcript, 4837 nt
Organism: Vespa velutina
Lineage: Eukaryota; Metazoa; Arthropoda; Insecta; Hymenoptera; Vespidae
Gene name: zinc finger protein 658B-like
Exons: 4
Source: RefSeq, a predicted model, not a curated record